UCUUGUCUCUUAGAGUUGUGUUCUGAAAAGAGAGAAAAGAAAAGAGACAAGAUGAAAAAAAAAAGAAAAAAAAAUACAGAAAAAUGAGAAAAAUUAAAAAAAAAUUGUUUUGUGAAUAAUGAAGUCAAGAAGAGGAUUGAAUUAGAGGUUUUGGGUGUGUUUGAAUGUGUUUACACUUGUUCCCCAUUGCUCCUCUAUUUCUUUUGGUUUAUANCUUCUCAUCCANAUGUUAUCCUCCCUUAUCUUUGGCCC
This 252-nucleotide long non-coding RNA is filed under the name Vigna radiata. RNAcentral's name for it is "long non-coding RNA (VRAD_LNC006696)". Lineage: Eukaryota; Viridiplantae; Streptophyta; Magnoliopsida; Fabales; Fabaceae. The record is from RNAcentral.